Nycticebus coucang (slow loris) is the source of this 102-nucleotide small nuclear RNA. Lineage: Eukaryota; Metazoa; Chordata; Mammalia; Primates; Lorisidae. The record is from RefSeq and is a predicted model, not a curated record.
UUGCAUUAACAGCACACGUACUUAAGUUGGAAUGAUACAGAGAAGAUUAUCAUGGCACUUGUGUUAAGGAUGACACAAAUUCAUGAAGUGUCCAUGUUUUUU